Molecule: non-coding RNA, 48 nt
Filed under: Schistosoma bovis
Lineage: Eukaryota; Metazoa; Platyhelminthes; Trematoda; Strigeidida; Schistosomatidae
Also listed under: 1 other name
Source: RNAcentral
AUCCAGCUGACGAGUCCCAAAUAGGACGAAACGCAUGUUAAACUGGAU